RNA transcript from Rhododendron vialii, 2138 nucleotides. It is a transcript of the gene named U-box domain-containing protein 9, with no coding region annotated. The record is from RefSeq and is a predicted model, not a curated record. The transcript has 3 exons. NCBI's taxonomy places the organism in Eukaryota, Viridiplantae, Streptophyta, Magnoliopsida, Ericales, Ericaceae.
GUGUAUAUCUAUAUAGACUAUAAAGAGAGAGAGAGAGAGAGAGAGAGAGAGAGAGAAUUCAAAGCCGAAGAAAAACUGAAACAGAGCAAGCACACUGUCAUUUACCCCCACACGGCUACGCCAACAAUAAGUAGCACAAUUCGACGGUAAUUCCUAAUGGCGAAAACGGGGGUAUUCGACGGGGAUCCGACGAUGAUAACGAAGGCGUCGGAGUUGAAGAAGGAGCUGCAGAGACUGGUCAGGGCAAUCGUGGACAACGACGAUUCCAACGCGGAGACCAUCGAUCGAGCCACCCAGACGCUGCGUGCACUCAAGGAGGUGAAAUCCAAGACAAGGGUUUCUCUCAGAAAACCGAGUUACGAUGGGGGCUUGUUGAGUUGCUGUCCAGAGGAGUUUCGGUGCCCUAUUUCCAGUGAGCUCAUGAGAGAUCCUGUUAUUGUCUCCACUGGUCAGACGUAUGAUAGACCAUUUAUCCAGAGAUGGUUGAAAUCGGGGCACCGGACAUGCCCUCGAACUCAACAAGUCCUCUCACACACCCUCCUUACGCCUAACCUUUUGAUUCGCGAAAUGAUAUCACAAUGGUGUAAAAGUCAUGAGAUGCAAUUGCCAGACCCAACUCAGUAUUCCAAUGAGGAUGGAUUAACAGAAGCCGAUCGAGACCAUUUCAUUUCUUUGCUCGAGAAAAUGUCCUCGACUCUGUCCGAACAGAAGGAAGCUGCAAGGGAAUUGCGGUUGUUGACAAAGAGGAUGCCUUCUUUUCGGGCACUCUUUUCCGAAUCUAUGGACGCAAUACCUCAGCUGCUCAAUCCUCUCUCUCAAAACAGGUCUCAAAUCGACCUUCACCCGGAGCUCCAAGAAGACCUAAUCACAACGCUUUUGAAUCUAUCAAUCCACGACAACAACAAGAAGUUUGUUGCGGAGACUCCAAUGGUUAUCUCUCUUGUUAUAGAUGCACUGAGAUCUGGGACAAUAGAAACGAGAAGCAAUGCGGCUGCAACCCUCUUCACAUUGUCAGCUUUGGACUCAAAUAAGGCGCUUAUUGGAAAAUCCGGUGCCCUGAAAUCCCUAAUAGACCUUUUAGAAGAAGGGCAUCCACUAGCUAUGAAAGAUGUUGCCUCGGCAGUUUUUAACCUAUGUAUUAUCCAGGAGAACAAGGCAAGCGCCGUGAGGGAUGGCGCAGUGAGAGUGAUUUUAAAGAAGAUCGCGAAUCGUAUCCAUGUGGAUGAGCUAUUGGCUAUCCUUGCAAUUCUUUCAAGCAAUCCGAAGGCGGUUGAGGAAAUGGGAGAGCUUGGGGGUGUUCCUUGUUUGCUCAGUGUAAUUAGGGAGAGCUUGUGUCCUCGAAACAAAGAGAAUUGCAUUGCGAUCCUCCAUACAAUUUGUUUCAACGACCGAACCAAGUGGAAGGAGAUGAGGGAAGAAGAGACUACUUAUGGGACUAUCUCUCAGCUUGCACAAAAUGGGACUUUGAGGGCGAAGAGGAAGGCCAGUGGCAUUCUUGAGAGAUUGAAUAGAAUUGUCAAUCUUACCCAUACUGCGUAAUAAGUCUCUUGUGCAGCUUUUCCAUGCUCAGAAUCUGUAAAUUCUACCUCUUUCAGUGUUACCAACGUCAAACAGGUGGCUGCCCCAAUGUUUCUGCAAUACCCAGCUACCCGGUUUCCAUGAUGGUCUCGUAUUAGACCUCCUGGCGCCGUCUGUGUCGAAUUGCACCACAAUGCUCCAUCUGAGUUUAACUGAAACCCAUCCGGUUUAGGUGGCCUCCAACCCAUUAUUUGCCAUAUCGGGACCCUGGUCUCAAUCCGUCUGCCUGCCAAAGUUUUCCAUUCUCGUUAUGUUUUGAUAUGUUUGCUUUUGUGUUUUCUAGUAACUCUUGCACUUGGUUGUUAGUAGAUUGCUGGAACUUUGCUUGGAAGUGGCAAUUGUGAUCUUUUUUCUUGUUUGAAAACAGAUGGCCCCAUUUGUUUUGUCUGCACUUCACAUUCAAUGUGAGCCCAUUUCAUUGGAUAUUGGAAUUUCUCAUUUAAAUAUAGGAUGGUACCUUAUCUACAUCUUUGAUUGUCGAAAAUUCCAAUACUUCAAUGACUGGAGAACAAAGCAAAACCUUGUCGUUGUUGCCAUCUUUGAAAAGGAAAAAAUUGAAU